RNAcentral lists this long non-coding RNA (1658 nucleotides) under Homo sapiens (human). RNAcentral describes it as "HSALNT0020196". Lineage: Eukaryota; Metazoa; Chordata; Mammalia; Primates; Hominidae. The record is from RNAcentral.
CUGGGAGGAAACAGCCUCUGUAGAAAUCAAGGUUUCCUGCUCUGUGAGGGCUGAUGCGGUGCCAUGGAGAUACUUCCUGUGACUUUGCCAGGCAAACUGGAGGCCAGGGGAAAGAUCGGGAGUGUGAAGUCCUGACUUCUCAGCUACUCAGAAACCCCUCUAAGCCUCGAUGUUUUCAUCUGAAAAAUGACAGUGGCAAACUGCUUAUAGAGGGACUGUCAGGAUCAAACGAGAUAUGGUUAUGAAGGCGCAUUGAAAACGGUGCCACCAUGGACACACGAGUUGCUAUUUCUGCCUGCCACCUCCACAGACCCCAGUUCACCACCAGCUGCAAUCUCUACAAGUGGCCCUGCCUUCCUGAAAACCCCAAACCAAGACUUGCCUCCCUGGGCAUCUGAGUCCACCCCAUCCUCUCUCCUCGGGCUUACUUACUCAACCUACACCACAGGGAAAUGCACCAGUUGCUUAAGAGCCCUGGAAAAAAGCAAAAAGAAAACCAAAAACAAAGUAACACAAAAACCCAGAGGGACAAGGAAACAGAGGGAAACCACAGACUCCCACAGGUAAGCACUGAGGGCAGCUUCCUCCCCAAGCGCUUCCUAACCCUUCUGUUCCUAGCCAAGGGGGAACCCAGGUUUCCAGCAGCUCUUCCUGAGUCUGAGCCCCAUCCAGCAGGUCAGGGCCUGGGUGGGGGCAGCCAGGGUGCUGUUUCCAGGCACGGGCUGCCUCCCACCCUUCUAAAGUACUGCGACUUGGCACAUCUCACCAGGCAGCUGAGCUGAGCACUCGAGUCAGCCAAACACCCUUCUGGGCUCUCGGCUCAUCAGGGGCCGCCCUGGGAGACAGCAAGUCCUGUUCUCCAUGUACUCUAGCAUGAAGGAUAGGCCGUGUGACCUCAGCAGGCCCCUUCCCUCCUGGGACCCAGUUUCCUGGUCUGUAAAAUGGGAAUAAAAACAGUUGCUUUGCUAACCCACAGGAUAGUGAUGAGCAGGGAUGGAAGUGCCAGCUGUGAAGGACGUCUGUGAGCUGUGUGUGCAGCACACACAGUUCAGGGGAUCCCGAUGUCCUACCUGCUCUAGGCUGGCUUGUGUUCAUGUCACCCACAGCAGGCUUCCAAGCAGAGCAGGGAUAGGAGUUAGCUUUCUUAGGGGUGUGUUUUCUUGAAGGGUGACCCUGAAUUGGGGUAUCUUCAAGAAGAUCUGUUUGGGGGCUGCCUCUCUCCUUCAGAGGUUUGUGUAGAGAGUGUCAGUGGGGUAGAGGUUGGGAGGGGGCCAUCGCCGGGAAGAAAGGCUCUUCCAAAAGGCUUCCAUCCUCCUGGCCCAAGCAGCACCCCACACCCUCUUCUCCACCCACCAACCCCAAAUCUUCAGAUUUCUCUGGGCAGCUCCAGCCUCAGUUCCUUGGUCCCUCAGGUCUCCAGGUAAGAAACAGUCUGGGGGGAAUGGGGGAAGCAGAUCACCCCGGGACUUCCUCCUCCCUCGUCUCCCUUCUCCACCGGUGGGCUCAUACCAGCAGGAUCAGGGACACAGAGCUGAGGCCAAGGAGCAGAGGGACUCGGCCAACCUGGUUCAGAUGCCUGCGGAAAACCUGCCCCAUAGCCCUGUUUGUGAAGUUGAUCUUUCUCUCCCAUGGGCUUGGUAAAAUCUCUAUAUUUGAAA